RNAcentral lists this ribosomal RNA (497 nucleotides) under uncultured bacterium. RNAcentral describes it as "partial 16S ribosomal RNA". It matches the Rfam family "Bacterial small subunit ribosomal RNA", at positions 28 to 507 of the family's 1533-position model. The record is from RNAcentral.
GACGAACGCUGGCGGCGUGCCUAAUACAUGCAAGUUGAGCGCUGAAGGUUGGUACUUGUACCGACUGGCUGAGCAGCGAACGGGUGAGUAACGCGUGGGGAAUCUGCCUUUGAGCGGGGGACAACAUUUGGAAACGAAUGCUAAUACCGCAUAAAAACUUUAAACACAAGUUUUAAGUUUGAAAGAUGCAAUUGCAUCACUCAAAGAUGAUCCCGCGUUGUAUUAGCUAGUUGGUGAGGUAAAGGCUCACCAAGGCGAUGAUACAUAGCCGACCUGAGAGGGUGAUCGGCCACAUUGGGACUGAGACACGGCCCAAACUCCUACGGGAGGCAGCAGUAGGGAAUCUUCGGCAAUGGACGAAAGUCUGACCGAGCAACGCCGCGUGAGUGAAGAAGGUUUUCGGAUCGUAAAACUCUGUUGGUAGAGAAGAACGUUGGUGAGAGUGGAAAGCUCAUCAAGUGACGGUAACUACCCAGAAAAGGACGGCUAACUACGUG